GUGCGCGUCACCCUGGCCGAUCCUCACCGCGUCACCCUGGAGCUGAUGAAGAGGUUGAUCGACUCUGGGGUGGGCCUGGCUCCCCACCACGCGGUGGAGAAGGCCAUGGCCGAGCUGCAGGAGAUCCUCACUGUCCUCUGAGAGGAUGGGAGGAUAAGGCCCGCGCCUGCCUGCAGGCCAGGUGAGCUUUCACACAGACACAUCUGCAAACACUCCAUGGGGAUGUUUGCACCUUCCUAAUUAAUCGUCCCAUGCCUGUCUGUCCUGCAAUAACCCCAGGCCUCGACACAGCAUGGUGACCUUGGAGAGCAUUGUGCUGGAAGCUCGAACAUUCCAGCAUACCUACCUAAUAUAUUGGCCCUCAGAGAGGCCUACUGAAGGCCAAAGACUGGACAUCUAAGGUGGAAGCCAUUCAGAGUGGCAACAGCUACGCGUACCUGGAGCAGCUGGAGAGCCUACUGGCCAGGGGUCGCUCCAUUCCUGUCCGGCUCGAUCCACUGGGUCCAGGUAGAGUCUCAGGUGGCCGCAGGCUCGAGCCUGGAGGGAGAGGACCGGUCGCACCUUCCUCAAGAAGAACUCCACGUACACACUGCUCCAGGUCCUCAGCCCUCGCGUGGGACAUCGGCAUCUACGGCAACAGCAAGAGCAAGAGGAAACGCGUCAAGGAGCUCAUGGAGAAAGGAGAGGGAGGCUUUGACCCUGACGCCCUCAGCGACCUGGAGGAGAGCCUCGAAGAGGUGCGAGACCCGUCAACCGUCGUAGCCGCCUUCAAAGCCAAAGAGCAUAAAGAAGUGGAGGCCAUCCACUCACUCCGUGCUGCCAAUUUAGCCAAGAUGGCCAUGGCCGACCGCAUCGAGGAGGUCAAAUUCUGCCUGUGUCGAAAGACGGCCAGCCGGCUUCAUGUUGCAGUGCGAGCUCUGUAAGGACUGGUUCCACGGAGCCUGCGUUCCCCUGCCUAAGACGGGAACUCAGAAGAAGGCGGGUGUGGGUUGGCAGAGCAAUAGCAAAGACUCCAAUUCCUGUGUCCGCUGUGUCAGAGGUCAGGAGGCCGAGACUAGAGACCAUCCUGUCGCUGUUGGUUUCGCUGCAGAAACUGCCGUUGCGUCUUCCAGAAGGAGAAGCUCUCCAGUGUUUGACAGAGAGGGCAAUGAGCUGGCAGGACCGAGCGCGUCAAUCUCUGGCCACGGAGGAGCUGUCCUCAGCCCUGGCCAAGCUGUCUGUGCUGAGCCAGCGCAUGGUGGAGGCAGGCGGCGAGGGAGAAACUGAGAAGAUCAUCAAUGCAGAGCUGCAGAAGGCUGCUGCCAACCCGACUUGCAGGUACUUAAAUGAUCUUACAUUGUUCUAAUUCCUGCUCCAGUACAGUACGUCGGGG
This 1372-nucleotide long non-coding RNA is filed under the name Cyclopterus lumpus (lumpfish). Its description in RNAcentral is "lncRNA (ENSCLMG00005011101.1)". The record is from RNAcentral. Lineage: Eukaryota; Metazoa; Chordata; Actinopteri; Perciformes; Cyclopteridae.